Molecule: long non-coding RNA, 488 nt
Organism: Juglans microcarpa x Juglans regia
Lineage: Eukaryota; Viridiplantae; Streptophyta; Magnoliopsida; Fagales; Juglandaceae
Exons: 3
Source: RefSeq, a predicted model, not a curated record
AGGAACCUGUAAUGGUGGCAGAAACAAUGGACACUAGCGGUUUGUCGUUGGUGCCUCAUGUGGGGGAAGGUUUGGAAUCGGGAGUGCAGUUGGGUACGGUGGCUGGAGAUAAUGUCGUUCCCUAAGUUUCUAUCCCUCCGUUAAACGAUAUAGCGGGUUUACCAUCAGAUUGGGUUCUAAAUAAAGUUAACGGAUUUUAGUAAAUCCUGAGGCUUUCGUAUGGAGAACAGGGAGAAUAUGAAGAUCAAUUCAAAGCUCUACUCAUUGCGAUUGAGGCGAGUCACACGCUUGAAACCGAAUCACAUUUUAAGAAAAGCAGGGAGUUAAAGCGUCUUCUAUGUUCAAUCAACUACGAUGCAAAGGGAGGUAACUCAAGUCGAGGGAAGAAUAAAGGGAGGGCAUCGUGAAGAUGAUCUCGUUGUGGGAUGUACGGGUAGAGGAUUAGUUUUAUGGAAACAAGGGGCUGGGGUUGGGGAGGUGUUACAUUA